GUGAGGAAUAUUGGUCAAUGGGCGGGAGCCUGAACCAGCCAAGUCGCGUGAAGGAAGAAGGAUCUAUGGUUCGUAAACUUCUUUUGCAGGGGAAUAAAGUGCAGGACGUGUCCUGUUUUGUAUGUACCCUGAGAAUAAGGAUCGGCUAACUCCGUGCCAGCAGCCGCGGUAAUACGGAGGAUCCGAGCGUUAUCCGGACUUAUUGGGUUUAAAGGGUGCGUAGGUGGUUUGAUAAGUCAGCGGUGAAAGUUUGCAGCUUAACUGUAAAAAUGCCGUUGAAACUGUCGGACUUGAGUGUAAAUGAGGUAGGCGGAAUGCGUGGUGUAGCGGUGAAAUGCAUAGAUAUCACGCAGAACUCCGAUUGCGAAGGCAGCUUACUAAGCUACAACUGACACUGAAGCACGAAAGCGUGGGGAUCAAACAGGAUUAGAUACCCGUGUAGUCC
This 445-nucleotide ribosomal RNA is filed under the name uncultured bacterium. RNAcentral describes it as "partial 16S ribosomal RNA". It matches the Rfam family "Bacterial small subunit ribosomal RNA", at positions 354 to 796 of the family's 1533-position model. The record is from RNAcentral.